UGGGAAGUACAGAAAUUUCCCUGUAGAGAC
This 30-nucleotide non-coding RNA is filed under the name Mus musculus (house mouse). The record is from RNAcentral. Lineage: Eukaryota; Metazoa; Chordata; Mammalia; Rodentia; Muridae.